GCGGCGGUAGCUCAACGGUAGAGCCUCAGCCUUCCAAGCUGAUGACGCGGGUUCGAUUCCCGUCCGCCGCU
Molecule: transfer RNA, 71 nt
Filed under: Solirubrobacterales bacterium
Lineage: Bacteria; Bacillati; Actinomycetota; Thermoleophilia; Solirubrobacterales
Also listed under: 4 other names
Description: tRNA-Gly
Rfam family: tRNA
About the family: Transfer RNA (tRNA) molecules are approximately 80 nucleotides in length. Their secondary structure includes four short double-helical elements and three loops (D, anti-codon, and T loops). Further hydrogen bonds mediate the characteristic L-shaped molecular structure. tRNAs have two regions of fundamental functional importance: the anti-codon, which is responsible for specific mRNA codon recognition, and the 3' end, to which the tRNAs corresponding amino acid is attached (by aminoacyl-tRNA synthetases). tRNAs cope with the degeneracy of the genetic code in two manners: having more than one tRNA (with a specific anti-codon) for a particular amino acid; and 'wobble' base-pairing, i.e. permitting non-standard base-pairing at the 3rd anti-codon position.
Source: RNAcentral